AGCCCGCUCAGAAACUUAAAGGAAUUGACGGGGGCCCGGCACAAGCGGUGGAGUAUGUGGUUUAAUUCGAUGCAACGCGAAGAACCUUACCUGGUCUUGACAUCCCGGAGACCCUUAGGAAACUAGGGGGUGCUUCCAUCUGGAAGAAUCUGGAGACAGGUGCUGCAUGGCUGUCGUCAGCUCGUGCUGUGAAGUGUUGGGUUAAGUCCCGCAACGAGCGCAACCCUUGCCUUUAGUUGCCAGCAGUUCGGCUGGGCACUCUAAAGGGACUGCCGGUGUUAAACCGGAGGAAGGUGGGGAUGACGUCAAGUCCUCAUGGCCUUUAUGACCAGGGCUACACACGUACUACAAUGGCCGAUACAAAGGGCAGCGACACUGCGAGGUGAAGCCAAUCCCGUAAAAUCGGUCUCAGUCCGGAUUGGAGUCUGCAACUCGACUCCAUGAAGUUGGAAUCGCUAGUAAUCGUGGAUCAGCAUGCCACGGUGAAUACGUUCCCGGGCCUU
This 503-nucleotide ribosomal RNA is filed under the name uncultured Desulfobulbus sp. RNAcentral's name for it is "bacterial SSU rRNA". It matches the Rfam family "Bacterial small subunit ribosomal RNA", at positions 886 to 1382 of the family's 1533-position model. Lineage: Bacteria; Pseudomonadati; Thermodesulfobacteriota; Desulfobulbia; Desulfobulbales; Desulfobulbaceae. The record is from RNAcentral.